This 945-nucleotide ribosomal RNA is filed under the name Triticum aestivum (bread wheat). RNAcentral describes it as "partial small subunit ribosomal RNA". The record is from RNAcentral. Lineage: Eukaryota; Viridiplantae; Streptophyta; Magnoliopsida; Poales; Poaceae.
AUGGCUUCCUCCACUGUCGCCUCCGCCCCCUUCCUCCCGUCGCUCCCCAGUCCAAACCACAGGCGCCUCUCCCUCCGCUACCCCGCUCGCCGUCUCGGGGUGGCCGCCUCUGCGGCUCCUAAGGGCGCGGCAGCGUCGGAGGCGGCGAGGGAGCGCCGGCGUUUCCUGGAGCGUUACGGCCUCAACCCUGACGACUUUGAGGAAGAUGCCGAGCCGGAUCCCAGGGAAGAGAGGAGGAGGGAGAGGCGGACGCGGCGGUCGGGGGGAGGGGAGGGGGAGGCCGCUGUUGCUCCUGCCAGGCCGGUGGAGCGCCGGGAGACUCAUAAGAUGCUCCAGGUACUAGCUGGGAAAGUACGCAGAAGAAAACUACUAUCACCAAAAGAUAGGAAUGUCCGUCCAAUGAUGGAAGUUGUCCGAGGAGCAGCCUUUGACAUUAUACAAUCAGCUGGUGGUUCUCCUGCUUCACUCAAACCUGGUCUGUGGUUAGACUUGUACAGUGGUACUGGAUCUGUAGGAAUUGAAGCUAUGAGCCGAGGCUGUUCACAGGCACAUUUUGUUGAGUUGGACCCUUGGGUUAUUUCUGAGGUUCUUAGACCUAAUCUGGACUGUACUGGAUUUCUUGAUACUUCACACAUACAUAUGCUCCGUGUCGAGAACUUCUUGGACAAUGCUGAAAAAUCUAAAGGUAGAUAUCCUUCUUUUGAUUAUAUUAGUGUAACACCACCAUAUGUUGAGGUCAACUACAGUACACUACUCGAUCAGCUUGCAAGGUCCCCGUUGGUUGGAGAAGAUUGCUUCAUUCUAGUUGAGUACCCACUCAAAACAGAUAUGCCUGAAUCCUGCGGAAAGCUAAUAAAGAUAGCUGACAGGAAGUUUGGGCGGACAAACCUGCUGAUUUAUGGGCCGACCUGGUCAGAGAAAAAGAAAGGAAGGAUCCUGAGAUAA